Molecule: ribosomal RNA, 406 nt
Filed under: uncultured bacterium
Lineage: Bacteria
Description: partial 16S ribosomal RNA
Rfam family: Bacterial small subunit ribosomal RNA
Source: RNAcentral
AUUGAACGCUGGCGGCAGGCCUAACACAUGCAAGUCGAGCGAGCGGCGGACGGGUGAGUAGUUUAUGGGGACCUGCCCGAUAGAGGGGGAUAACUACUGGAAACGGUGGCUAAUACCGCAUACUAUCCUUUGAACCCCUAUGGGAUUAGCUAGUAGGUGGGGUAAAGGCUCACCUAGGCGACGAUCCCUAGCUGGUCUGAGAGGAUGAUCAGCCACACUGGGACUGAGACACGGCCCAGACUCCUACGGGAGGCAGCAGUGGGGAAUAUUGCACAAUGGGCGCAAGCCUGAUGCAGCCAUGCCGCGUGUAUGAAGAAGGCCUUAGGGUUGUAAAGUACUGUCAGCAGGGAGGCGGUACCCGAAGAAGAAGCACCGGCUAACUCCGUGCCAGCAGCCGCGGUAAUUC